AGCAGCCGCGGUAAUUCCAGCUCCAAUAGCGUAUAUUAAAGUUGUUGCAGUUAAAAAGCUCGUAGUUGAAUUUCGGGAUCAAUAUGUCGGUCGUGCCUCCGGUACGUACUGGCGUUAUUGGUUUCUCCCUUCUGACGAACCACGAUGUCAUUAAUUUGGUGUCAUGGGGAAUCAGGACUGUUACUUUGAAAAAAAUUAGAGUGUUUAAAGCAGGCUCACGCUUGAAUACAUUAGCAUGGAAUAAUGAAAUAGGACGUUCGAUUCUAUUUUGUUGGUUUCUAGGAUCGACGUAAUGAUUAAUAGGGAUAGUUGGGGGCAUUAGUAUUCAAUUGUCAGAGGUGAAAUUCUUGGAUUUAUUGAAGACUAACUACUGCGAAAGCAUUUGCCAAGGAUGUUUUCAUUAAUCAAGAACGAAAGUUAGGGGAUCGAAGACGAUCAGAUACCGUCGUAGUCUUAACCAUAAACUAUGCCGACUAGGGAUCGGAUGAUGUUAAUUUUUUAAUGACUCAUUCGGCGCCUU
RNAcentral lists this ribosomal RNA (520 nucleotides) under uncultured Glomus. Its description in RNAcentral is "SSU rRNA". It matches the Rfam family "Eukaryotic small subunit ribosomal RNA", at positions 569 to 1089 of the family's 1831-position model. The record is from RNAcentral. Lineage: Eukaryota; Fungi; Glomeromycota; Glomeromycetes; Glomerales; Glomeraceae.